Molecule: small RNA, 4691 nt
Filed under: Oryza sativa Japonica Group (Japanese rice)
Lineage: Eukaryota; Viridiplantae; Streptophyta; Magnoliopsida; Poales; Poaceae
Description: sRNA Os01g0340801
Source: RNAcentral
GGGUAAAGUUUUGACCUGUCACAUUGAAUAUUAUAUAGGGUAUCGUAUAGGAUGUUCGAGCACUAAUAAAAAAAACCUAAUUAUAGAAUUUGUUAGUAAACCACGAGACGAAUUUAUUAAGUCUAAUUAAUCCGUCAUUAGCAAAUGUUUACUGUAGCACCACAUUGUCAAAUCAUGGAGCAAUUAGGCUUAAAAGAUUUGUCUCGCAAAUUAGUCGCAAUCUGUACAAUUAAUUAUUUUUUAGCCUAUAUUGAAUACUUCAUGCAGGUUUUUAAACGUUCGAUAUGAUAGGGUGAAAAAUUUUAGGGUGAGAUCUAAACAGGAUCUUUGCCUCAAAAUUUUCACAGUAGCGAGCAGCCGAGAAAUCAGCUAGUGCCUCAAAAGCAAGAUGAAAAGGCCUUAGAAAACAUAUAAGUGAUCAUAUAUCUAUUCACAAAAAUAUAGAAGGUUAGAUUCGUUACCCACAUGGAGAAAAAAAACAAAUUCAAUUGUAAAUACAACAGCACUUUUUAUUGUCUUGUUUGUCUCCGUGUAUAAAGUCAUUUUGACCUUAGAAAUUUACCAAAGGACAUGUCACACAAUGACUUAUCUUGUUUUUUGAAUUUUCGCAAGUAUUUAAACCACUAGGAAGAAAACCCACUCACACGCAGAAGCAUUAUUUUUAAUUUUGUUUAAAAUACUAGAGAUACUACAAAAUAUCGCAUCUUCCCAUUAAUUGGAAAAUUGUAUGAUAACAAGUUGAAGCACAAAAUGAAUUUGCUUUGUAUCUAGACAAAUUAACUUCAUGUGCUUUACACAAAAUUACAUCUUCCGUAGAUCCUCCAAUGCUAGAAAUAUUAAGAUAGUGUAGAUCAAUAAGAUAAGAGUGAUAAUAGAUCAGUGAUCCAAAUGUUUAAAAUAAUUGGGAUGGUUUGGUAAAAAUAAUAUAGAUGAGAUGAUGUCCAUGGUUUCAAGAGAGAAGAAGGACAUUUCAUAGCAUAUAUGAAUAAUCUAAGGGCUUAAAACGAUUAAGGUAAUGUGAUCUCACGAGAGGAUAAAUUAGCAUUAACCAUACAUAGGGUAUGUUCAAAAGUGAAGAGCGGGUUGGCUUCUUCCUCGGUUCUCAUUAGCGUUUCUUGCAAAAAAGAAUUUAUAGAAGUUGCUUUAAAAAUUAAAUAAAUGCAAAUUUUAUUUUUUUAAUAAUUUAGGGCAUGUUUAGAUUGUAGCUAAAAUAAACCUUACCAAAUUUUGGCAGGAUUUCCUAUGUAUUUGCUAAUUUUGGAAACAAACUAAACGUAGACAUUUUUUGACAACCUUACCAAAAAAUGGUAUUAUUGAAAAUGACAUCAAAGUGAACAGACCCUUAUAGGUGGUGUUUGGGAAGAGACUAAAGUUUAGUCCCUCCUUCCCAAACACCCCCCAUACUCAAUCUAUCUAUACCUUCUAUAUAAUUAGUACCCACUACUUUUAAAUCUUAACAUGUAACGACUAGAGAUGAAAUUGGUACAUAUUUUUCGUCAGUUCGGACCUUGUUUUUAAAACAAAUAGGUUCGUUAGAUAGUUCCAAAUAUUUUCGGAUAUAGAAACAAAUUCUGAGUAUUUUCUCAGAAUAGAACCGAAUACAGUAAGGACACUAUCCAUCGGAAUUGAAAAACGGUCGGAAAGUAUCCUGGAUUUUUCUCUAGAUAUCCGUAGACCGCAAGUAUUAAUUAAUUAAAAAACACAUAGAUAUACAUAACUUUAUCAUAUGAAGUUAGAUGAAUACAAACUUUACAUCAAAAUUGUAGAGCUCGACGAGAGAUCUACAACUUUGUUGCUGAAGACUUUAUUAUUUGAGAUCAUUUAGGGGGUCUAAAUAUUCAUUACAAAAUAUCAUAUCUGCUUUUACAAAAUCUGUAAUGUACAAUUCAAAUGACAUUUGAUGGAAACAAACUCUAUAUGAAAGUUGUAGAGUUGAAUGGGAUAGUUUAUGACAUUUAUAAUUUAAAAUAUUUAAAGUGUAAAAACUUGAAACGGAAUAAAGUGAAUAACAUUUUCAAUCUAUACAACAAGAACAUACAUGAUAUGGUAAGUAAGCUAUGCAUCAAAUAAGACAUCUUGGGACUAUGAAGUGGAUAAUCAUAUUUACAAUCACCUAUAAAUUUGACGAUAUAAAUUUUGGAGAUAGUGACCUUUUAUUUCAAAGAAAAUAACCAGCGAUAUCUCUUCCUAGAUUAAGGAAGCUCAAUUAACGGGUUUUAUAUCCUGUCAAAUACUUGUUACUGUAUUCAUUCUGUUUUUGUUUUGUAUUCGCUCAGUAUCAGUAUUUGAUAAUAUUCACUUCCAUUUUUGUAUCCAUGUUUUUUUAUUCCAAUUCAGAAAAACAAUAUGACAACGGAUAUGGUAGAGCUAGUUUCUAUAUGUUUCUAAUCUGUUUUCAUCACUAAAUAUGGCACAUCAUCACACACUAGCAAUUAUUUGUCUUAGAGAAUUUUAAAGCUCACGCAACCAUGACACAUUAUUUACAAUUUAUUACUCCAAGCAUUUCAUAUCGUGUCAAUCAUCAUCCUCACAUUAUCUUCACAUUAUUCCACAUUAUAUGCAGGUGCAUCUAAUAUUUUUAAUGAAAUAUUAUAAAUUCACUUAAAUGCAUUUUAAAAAUUUAUAAUGCUAGAAUCAAAAUAUUAUUGGGGACCAACUUCCUCAGUGAGAUUUGUUAAGUUCCUGCCGGGGUUCGCAUCGGGUGCCUAGUCCAUCGUCAUCACACUCAUAGAGGACUGCAUCAAUGAGCCAGUAUAUAUCUAGUUGACCUCUGUCACCAACGCCGACUCCCCACUAGGGCCCAUGUCGGUUCAGCCAUUGUGCCCAACGUCCGAUACUCACAACAGUGUACCAAGCUCUGCAUUGAUAUAUCCAUGACGACCGUUGUGGGGAGGACACAGAUGAAUUGGGGUAUAUGGAUGCGAAGGAUUCUAGAGGGUGUUUUAGGUGUUCCAUGUGAUUAUAUAGAUAGAAAAUACAAUGAUGUGACAUAAGUGGCAUUUGUCUUUGAAGUCUUGACCCCAUUAUUUGUGGUAUAGGGUAGAGAAACAUUUUUUUAAUUUUAUCUUCUUCAUCCCUUGUCUAUAUUCACCAACAUCACAUGAGUUUUUUUGAACACACAUAUGAAGCACAUACAUUGAUCCAUGUAUGAAUCUAUUUAAAAAACCAAAACAUUUUAUAGUAUGAAAUAGAGGACAUACUGCUUAAAUUCAAUUUCCUCUUUUGAAUAUGAGUGGGAUCAACCAUUGCAACACAACAUAAAAAUAUUAUCGAAUGCUAAAGAGCAUUAAUUUUUAUAUUCUAACAUAGAUCUAAUGUCUAACAAGAUCUUGUGCGUUACCAACAGUGCGUUAUAUAUUUAUAGUUAUGGGGCCAUAUUUUCUAAUUUGAAUAAUUAAUUUAGUGUCAAGGAAACUUAUUUACAACUGAGACAUGCAUUUACUACUUCACUGUAGUGUAUUUACAAGGAAUCCUAUAUACCUAUACAAAUCAUCCCCACUACUACAAUUCUCUGCUUCCUGGUGCUUCCACGUCACCCCUUUUUGUCCCCACCGUUAGAUUCGCAUCGAGCCCUUCCUCCGCAUCGCUCCUCUCCUCUCCCCUCCCGCAUCUCGUUGCGGCGCCGGCCCCACGCGCAUUGAUCCCGCGUCGCUCCCCUCCCCUCCCCGCAUCGCUCCCCUCCUCUCCUCUCCCGCAUCUUGGCUUCGCCGGCCCCACGCGCACAUCGCUCCUCUCCGCAUCGUUCCUCUCCUCUCACAGCCUGAAUUUCCGUUUUAGGAUUUAUAAAUUAUUUAAUAAACUAUUAAUAGAAAUUAUAUUAAAUGUUCAUUAAUUUACAAGUGAAGUUAAAUGUGGGAAAUAAAAUUUCCUAAAUUUAAAACAUGGAUGGAUUUAAAUUUUAUUAAAUUCUCCAUGAUUAAUUAUACUCUCUGAAAUUUUCUCGGAUUUUUCAGAGCUCAAUCCCUAAAUUAAUUAAUUAAUCAAUUAAUGAUCUAAUUAUAAUUAUGUUCAGUGCUUUUCUUGUUUAAAAAUCCUUAAAAUAUAAAUUGUUGUCUAAAAGGAAUUAUUUAGAAAUAAUCUUAAAAGCCUAAAAGAGAAGAUCUAAUUUUUAAUUUGUUAAAUCUCAAUAUAAAAGUGGGUUAGAUAAAAUUUUGUUAAAUACUUCUCUUGUUUCUGUAGUUCAUAGAUUUUUCUGGGAUUUAUUUGAGCCAAGGAAGUAUUUUUAAUCAAUGGAAUAUCAUUUCAUGAAUAAUUUAAAUAGAAAAAGGUUUUAAAAUCUCUCUUUUAGCUUUGGGCCGAAAGUCAGCCCAAGUCUCUCUUCCUCUCCUCGGCCUGCUUGCGUCCGGCCUAGCCGGCCCAGUCCGCCGUCCCUCCCUCCUCUCUCUCUCGGUGCCGCUGACAGGUGGGGCCCACCUGUCAUUCGUCUUCAACCUUCGGCCGCUCCUAGCCGCGCCGCAAGCCGCCGAUCUCCUUCUAAAAUCCGGCCGUCUCCUUCCUCCUUCGGCCGAAUUGAUUGAGGGGAAAUAAUCUCCUCGAUCUCCUCUUCCUUUUCUCUUUAGGAAUCCCGGGCUAAUUUCGUUUGGAAACCGACGGAUUUGAGCUCGAUUCGGAUCAAUCUCUCUCUUCUAACCCUAAAACUUUCCAUCUCCUUGCCGCCGGCCAUGGGCCUCCGUCGCCGCCUCCUAGCCCCU